RNAcentral lists this ribosomal RNA (978 nucleotides) under Owenweeksia sp. TMED14. RNAcentral describes it as "bacterial SSU rRNA". It matches the Rfam family "Bacterial small subunit ribosomal RNA", at positions 1 to 984 of the family's 1533-position model. The record is from RNAcentral. Lineage: Bacteria; Pseudomonadati; Bacteroidota; Flavobacteriia; Flavobacteriales; Owenweeksiaceae.
AUGGAGAGUUUGAUCCUGGCUCAGGAUAAACGCUAGCGGCAGGCCUUACACAUGCAAGUCGAGGGGUAGAAUAUCUUCGGAUAUUUGAGACCGGCGCACGGGUGCGUAACACGUAUGCAACCUACCUUUUACUGGGGAAUAGCCCGAAGAAAUUCGGAUUAAUGCCCCAUAUGCUUGCACAACCGCAUGGUUGAGCAAGGAAAGCUCCGGCGGUAAAAGAUGGGCAUGCGUCCUAUUAGCUUGUUGGUGAGGUAAUGGCUCACCAAGGCUACGAUAGGUAGGGGACCUGAGAGGGUGAACCCCCACACUGGUACUGAGACACGGACCAGACUCCUACGGGAGGCAGCAGUGAGGAAUAUUGGGCAAUGGAGGAAACUCUGACCCAGCCAUGCCGCGUGCAGGAAGACGGCCCUCUGGGUUGUAAACUGCUUUUAUAUGGGAAUAAACCCUUCCACGUGUGGAAGGCUGAAGGUACCAUAAGAAUAAGGAUCGGCUAACUCCGUGCCAGCAGCCGCGGUAAUACGGAGGAUCCAAGCGUUAUCCGGAUUUAUUGGGUUUAAAGGGUCCGUAGGCGGGUCUUUAAGUCAGUGGUGAAAGCCUGCAGCUUAACUGUAGAAUUGCCAUUGAUACUGAAGACCUUGAGUGUAGUAGAAGUAGGCGGAAUAUGGCAUGUAGCGGUGAAAUGCAUAGAUAUGCCAUAGAACACCGAUUGCGAAGGCAGCUUACUAUGUUACAACUGACGCUGAGGGACGAAAGCGUGGGUAGCAAACAGGAUUAGAUACCCUGGUAGUCCACGCCGUAAACGAUGAUUACUCGCUGUUAGCGAUAUACAGUUAGCGGCCAAGCGAAAGCAUUAAGUAAUCCACCUGGGGAGUACGCCGGCAACGGUGAAACUCAAAGGAAUUGACGGGGGCCCGCACAAGCGGUGGAGCAUGUGGUUUAAUUCGAUGAUACGCGAGGAACCUUACCAGGGCUUAA